Molecule: microRNA precursor, 87 nt
Filed under: Dasypus novemcinctus (nine-banded armadillo)
Lineage: Eukaryota; Metazoa; Chordata; Mammalia; Cingulata; Dasypodidae
Description: miRNA (ENSDNOG00000041369.1)
Source: RNAcentral
AUCACCAGGGGAUCCUGGUAAAUUCAAAUUCGGAUUCAGUAGAGCAUGGGACCUGAGAAUCUGCAUUUCUAACAAAUUCCCAGGUUA